Eptesicus fuscus (big brown bat) is the source of this 103-nucleotide small nuclear RNA. The record is from RefSeq and is a predicted model, not a curated record. Lineage: Eukaryota; Metazoa; Chordata; Mammalia; Chiroptera; Vespertilionidae.
GUGCUUGCUUUGGCAGCACAUAUACUAAAAUUGAAUGGUGCUGAGAAGGUUAGCAGGGCCCUUGCACAAUAACAUGCAAAUUCGUGAAGCAUUCCAUAAAAAA